UACAGAGGGUGCAAGCGUUGUUCGGAAUCAUUGGGCGUAAAGCGCACGUAGGCGGCUUUGCAAGUCAGGUGUGAAAGCCUGGGGCUCAACCCCAGAAGUGCAUUUGAAACUGCAGAGCUUGAGUCUUGGAGAGGGCAGUGGAAUUCCGAGUGUAGAGGUGAAAUUCGUAGAUAUUCGGAGGAACACCAGUGGCGAAGGCGACUGCCUGGACAAAGACUGACGCUGAGGUGCGAAAGCUAGGGGAGCAAACAGG
RNAcentral lists this ribosomal RNA (253 nucleotides) under uncultured bacterium. RNAcentral's name for it is "partial 16S ribosomal RNA". It matches the Rfam family "Bacterial small subunit ribosomal RNA", at positions 524 to 776 of the family's 1533-position model. The record is from RNAcentral.